This 65-nucleotide transfer RNA is filed under the name Cyrtorhinus lividipennis. Its description in RNAcentral is "tRNA-Leu". Lineage: Eukaryota; Metazoa; Arthropoda; Insecta; Hemiptera; Miridae. The record is from RNAcentral.
ACUACUUUGGCAGAAAAAUGUUUUAAAUUUAGAAUUUAUUUAUGUAAUGAUUAUUACAGGUAGUA